UGGACAGAAACAAUGGACUUCCGG
Molecule: non-coding RNA, 24 nt
Filed under: Arabidopsis thaliana (thale cress)
Lineage: Eukaryota; Viridiplantae; Streptophyta; Magnoliopsida; Brassicales; Brassicaceae
Source: RNAcentral